This is a long non-coding RNA of Myotis lucifugus (little brown bat), 440 nucleotides long. RefSeq lists it as uncharacterized. Lineage: Eukaryota; Metazoa; Chordata; Mammalia; Chiroptera; Vespertilionidae. The transcript is spliced from 4 exons. The record is from RefSeq and is a predicted model, not a curated record.
CGGAAGUUCCCGCGCUGCCGCUGGUGGGAGUUGUAGUCCGGCCGUGGUUAGGGGGGGGCCCGCGGCUCAUGCGCGGUGCAUCGAGGCUUGUUUCACAUCUGUAACAACAGGAGGAGGCCCAGCCUCGUGAUGAGGAAUAGCAAGGAGAGAAUUCCGCUGCAGUUCAGACGCCUCCAGAAGCUGAGGUCUUCACUGCUCUCGUAAGGGUUCCAGCUUCCCUCCUGCCAGAGAUGUUCAGCCUGGACUCAUUCAGAAAAGAUCGGGCCCAGCACAGGCAACGUCAGUGCAAACUCCCCCCGCCGCGCCUCCCACCCAUGUGCGUCAACCCUGCCCCCGGAGGGACCAUCUGUCGAGGUAAGGGAGGAGCCCGGCUCCAGCACCAGCGUCGGGGCUGUGGGGCGGGGGCCUCUGGGAAGCGAGUGAGGAGAGCGGGGUUCGCA